UACGUAGGGUGCUAGCGUUGUUCGGAAUUACUGGGCGUAAAGGGCGUGUAGGCGGACCCGUCAGUCAGGGGUGAAAUCCCGGGGCUCAACCUCGGAACUGCCUUUGAGACUGCUGGUCUUGAGGACGGGAGAGGGUCGUGGAAUUCCCAGUGUAGAGGCGAAAUUCGUAGAUAUUGGGAAGAACACCGGUGGCGAAGGCGGCGACCUGGACCGUAUCUGACGCUGAGGCGCGAAAGCGUGGGGAGCGAACAGG
Molecule: unclassified non-coding RNA, 253 nt
Filed under: uncultured Alphaproteobacteria bacterium
Lineage: Bacteria; Pseudomonadati; Pseudomonadota; Alphaproteobacteria
Description: contains 16S-23S intergenic spacer region
Rfam family: Bacterial small subunit ribosomal RNA
Source: RNAcentral